GCGGACCUCGUCUAAUGGCAAGACCGUAGUUUUCCAAACUACUGAUAGGAGUUCGAAUCUCCUGGCCCGCUCCA
RNAcentral lists this transfer RNA (74 nucleotides) under Kofleriaceae bacterium. Its description in RNAcentral is "tRNA-Gly". It matches the Rfam family "tRNA". Rfam says of the family: Transfer RNA (tRNA) molecules are approximately 80 nucleotides in length. Lineage: Bacteria; Pseudomonadati; Myxococcota; Haliangiales; Kofleriaceae. The record is from RNAcentral.